ACACGGAGGAUCCGAGCGUUAUCCGGAUUUAUUGGGUUUAAAGGGUGCGCAGGCGGCCAUUUAAGUCAGCGGUUAAAUCGUGGGGCUCAACCCCAUUCUGCCGUUGAUACUGGGUGGCUUGAUUGCGGUCGAGGUUGGCGGAAUUCGUUGUGUAGCGGUGAAAUGCAUAGAUAUGACGAAGAACACCGAUUGCGUAGGCAGCUGACCAGACCGCAAAUGACGCUCAUGCACGAAAGUGCGGGGAUCGAACAGGAUUAGAUACCCUGGUAGUCCGCACAGUAAACGAUGAAUACUUGUUUUCGGCGAUAUAAUGUCGGAGGCAAAGCGAAAGCGAUAAGUAUUCCACCUGGGGAGUACGCCGGCAACGGUGAAACUCAAAUGAAUUGGCGGGG
RNAcentral lists this ribosomal RNA (392 nucleotides) under uncultured bacterium. RNAcentral describes it as "partial 16S ribosomal RNA". It matches the Rfam family "Bacterial small subunit ribosomal RNA", at positions 523 to 918 of the family's 1533-position model. The record is from RNAcentral.